AUUUUAAUUUUUGAUUGUGUUCUUAGUUUUCUUUUUAUGAGGAAAGAGUUAGAGCAUCUCCAUGCGAGUAUCUCAAUGAGAUACCCAACAAAAAGAAGAAAAUUAAAAAAAGUAAAAAAAAAAGAGAGUUAAGUUUUGCAAGAGAAACUUUAAGAAACAAUUAAUAUAUCAAUUAUCUAAUUUGGACAGCUGCCAUAACAUUAUUCAAU
Molecule: small RNA, 209 nt
Filed under: Arabidopsis thaliana (thale cress)
Lineage: Eukaryota; Viridiplantae; Streptophyta; Magnoliopsida; Brassicales; Brassicaceae
Description: ATSL296830
Source: RNAcentral